Molecule: ribosomal RNA, 1016 nt
Filed under: Rathayibacter iranicus
Lineage: Bacteria; Bacillati; Actinomycetota; Actinomycetes; Micrococcales; Microbacteriaceae
Description: bacterial SSU rRNA
Rfam family: Bacterial small subunit ribosomal RNA
Source: RNAcentral
CGUCUAAUACCGGAUACGACCUGCCCCGGCAUCGGGUGUGGGUGGAAAGUUUUUCGGUCAAGGAUGGACUCGCGGCCUAUCAGCUUGUUGGUGAGGUAAUGGCUUACCAAGGCGACGACGGGUAGCCGGCCUGAGAGGGUGACCGGCCACACUGGGACUGAGACACGGCCCAGACUCCUACGGGAGGCAGCAGUGGGGAAUAUUGCACAAUGGGCGAAAGCCUGAUGCAGCAACGCCGCGUGGGGGAUGACGGCCUUCGGGUUGUAAACCUCUUUUAGUAGGGAAGAAGGGCUUCGGCUUGACGGUACCUGCAGAAAAAGCACCGGCUAACUACGUGCCAGCAGCCGCGGUAAUACGUAGGGUGCAAGCGUUGUCCGGAAUUAUUGGGCGUAAAGAGCUCGUAGGCGGUUUGUCGCGUCUGCUGUGAAAACCCGAGGCUCAACCUCGGGCCUGCAGUGGGUACGGGCAGACUAGAGUGCGGUAGGGGAGAAUGGAAUUCCUGGUGUAGCGGUGGAAUGCGCAGAUAUCAGGAGGAACACCGAUGGCGAAGGCAGUUCUCUGGGCCGUUACUGACGCUGAGGAGCGAAAGCGUGGGGAGCGAACAGGAUUAGAUACCCUGGUAGUCCACGCCGUAAACGUUGGGAACUAGAUGUGGGGGCCUUUCCACGGUCUCCGUGUCGCAGCUAACGCAUUAAGUUCCCCGCCUGGGGAGUACGGCCGCAAGGCUAAAACUCAAAGGAAUUGACGGGGGCCCGCACAAGCGGCGGAGCAUGCGGAUUAAUUCGAUGCAACGCGAAGAACCUUACCAAGGCUUGACAUAUACCGGAAACUUCCAGAGAUGGUUGCCCCGCAAGGUCGGUAUACAGGUGGUGCAUGGUUGUCGUCAGCUCGUGUCGUGAGAUGUUGGGUUAAGUCCCGCAACGAGCGCAACCCUCGUUCUAUGUUGCCAGCACGUGAUGGUGGGAACUCAUAGGAGACUGCCGGGGUCAACUCGGAGGAAGGUGGGGAUGACGUCA